UUUUGUGGGGUGCCCGAGUGGCGAACGGGUGAGUAACACGUGAGUAACCUGCCCUUGACUUUGGGAUAACUUCAGGAAACUGGGGCUAAUACCGGAUAGGAGCUCCUGCUGCAUGGUGGGGGUUGGAAAGUUUCGGCGGUUGGGGAUGGACUCGCGGCUUAUCAGCUUGUUGGUGGGGUAGUGGCUUACCAAGGCUUUGACGGGUAGCCGGCCUGAGAGGGUGACCGGCCACUAUUGGGACUGAGAUACGGCCCAG
RNAcentral lists this ribosomal RNA (256 nucleotides) under uncultured Actinomycetales bacterium. RNAcentral's name for it is "partial 16S ribosomal RNA". It matches the Rfam family "Bacterial small subunit ribosomal RNA", at positions 78 to 334 of the family's 1533-position model. Lineage: Bacteria; Bacillati; Actinomycetota; Actinomycetes; Actinomycetales. The record is from RNAcentral.